This 181-nucleotide unclassified non-coding RNA is filed under the name uncultured Sordariomycetes. RNAcentral's name for it is "sequence contains ITS2". The record is from RNAcentral. Lineage: Eukaryota; Fungi; Ascomycota; Sordariomycetes.
CGACCCCUCAGGUGCCCUGUGGCGCCUGGUGUUGGGGCAUCUGCGGCCCGCGCCUGUGGCCGCAGCGCCCCCAAAGCUAGUGGCAGGACCCCGUCUGGACUCCGAGCGCAGUAACGAAAGUCUCGCUCAGGGCGUCCGGCGUGGACCUCGCCGUAAAACGUGUUAAAAUCUUUUACCCAAA